RNAcentral lists this ribosomal RNA (253 nucleotides) under uncultured bacterium. RNAcentral's name for it is "partial 16S ribosomal RNA". It matches the Rfam family "Bacterial small subunit ribosomal RNA", at positions 524 to 776 of the family's 1533-position model. The record is from RNAcentral.
GACGGAAGGUGCAAGCGUUGCUCGGAAUCACUGGGCGUAAAGGGUGCGUAGGCGGCUUGGUAAGUUGGGUGUGAAAGCCCCGGGCUCAGCCCGGGAAGGGCACUCGAAACUGCCGAGCUGGAGUGCCGGAGGGGGGAGUGGAAUUCCUGGUGUAGCGGUGAAAUGCGUAGAUAUCAGGAGGAAUACCGGUGGCGAAAGCGGCUCACUGGGUCUUUUCUGACGCUGAUGCACGAAAGCUAGGGGGGCAAACAGG